Long non-coding RNA from Homalodisca vitripennis (glassy-winged sharpshooter), 468 nucleotides. RefSeq lists it as uncharacterized. The transcript is spliced from 2 exons. Lineage: Eukaryota; Metazoa; Arthropoda; Insecta; Hemiptera; Cicadellidae. The record is from RefSeq and is a predicted model, not a curated record.
CGGGAGGAAGUGGCACGCCAGGAGCGUCGUCUGCUAGCCGGCUACCUCAGCUGUUCAGACUGGGGCUCUGGCUGUGUCGAAAGACUGGCCUGUGAGACACACAGUCCUGCUUCCCCUGUCACCCCUACGGAGCGAAACGUCGUAGACAUGGUCAUUUCUGAGAUAAUAAACAACGAGUUCGUUGAUGAAGGCGUGAAGAAAGACGUGGUGAGAGCAAGGAAAGUUGGACGUGUAGGGGGAGACUGUCGCUCAUUCCGCUGUCCAGAACUGGAUACAUCCAAUGCAGCUAACAAAGUGAUCCACAAGUAGAAUACAUGUUAUGGUUCACUUAUAGAUAUUGUCAUAAUGCGAAUUUAUCAUUGACGAUGUCAGGUGUGGGAUUUCUGUUUACUUUUAGAUUGUAAAACAAGAAUAAUUAAAAAAUAUGUAACUCCAAUAUUUUUGACAAUUAUAUUUGACCUAACUCAA